This is a long non-coding RNA of Quercus lobata, 516 nucleotides long. RefSeq lists it as uncharacterized. The transcript has 3 exons. Lineage: Eukaryota; Viridiplantae; Streptophyta; Magnoliopsida; Fagales; Fagaceae. The record is from RefSeq and is a predicted model, not a curated record.
UAUCUUCUUUGCUGCACCAGAAACACUCUUUGUCCAUCUUUCCUUGUUUCUUUCUUUUCUUCUUUCUUUGCUCUAGGAUCAGUAGCUUCUUACAUCUUACAACAGCCCUCCUUUUCUUUCAUCGAAAAUCAUAAAUAUCUCUCUAUAAGAAGAAAUCAAACUCUUACUAAAGUUUAAUUUCAAAGGUUGUGGGUGACGAGAAUGAGAACAUGGACACUUGAGCUCCUCUUAUACAAAUCUCUCGCGUCCUCUGUUUUCAGCUCACUUUAUUAUAUUUCAGCGCACAUGUUCUUCCUGAAAGCAGCAAGAGUAUUAGAGGUGGCAAGGAUUUUGUUAGAUUGUAGAGUUUUUUUUUUUUUUUUGUAUAGUAGUUUAGCUCUUUUGUUGUAUAGGAGGAAUCAAGAUGUACUUGAUCCUUGAGCACAGAUGUAAUUCAGAACCUUAGUUUGUUUUGAACUCCAAUUGUAUGUCUUUGGGGUUAGGUUUAUAAUAAGAUUUUUGCUAAACGUUUAACUA